CUGGGGGGAGUGGGUGUUUCUACCAAAGUCUUGAAGGUUCUCCUAAACCCAGGCCUGGGAUGCCCACUCACCUUGCCCUACUUUCUUGAAAACCAAGAUGAGCCAUACUCCAGUUGAGCAGUCUGUGAUGGGCUUGAUCGUCCUAUUCCACAAAUACUCCAAACCUGAUGACAAGAUUGACAAGCAGAGCCUGCUGAAGAUGCUGAAGGAGAAUUUCCCUAUCUUCCUCAAGGCCUGUG
Myotis davidii is the source of this 239-nucleotide long non-coding RNA. RefSeq lists it as uncharacterized. NCBI's taxonomy places the organism in Eukaryota, Metazoa, Chordata, Mammalia, Chiroptera, Vespertilionidae. The record is from RefSeq and is a predicted model, not a curated record. The transcript is spliced from 2 exons.